This 378-nucleotide ribosomal RNA is filed under the name uncultured bacterium. RNAcentral's name for it is "partial 16S ribosomal RNA". It matches the Rfam family "Bacterial small subunit ribosomal RNA", at positions 527 to 906 of the family's 1533-position model. The record is from RNAcentral.
GGAGGUUCCGGGCGNUAUCCGGANUUANNGAGNNUNAAGGGAGCGNAGGCCGUCUGGUAAGCGNGNNGUGAAANGUCGGGGCNCAACCUGGGCAUUGCAGCGCGAACUGUCAGAUUNGAGUGCGCGGGAAGUAGGCGGAAUUCGUCGUGNAGCGGUGAAANGCUUAGAUAUGACGAAGACUUCCGAUNGCGAAGGCAGCCUGCUGUAGCGCAACUGACGCUGAAGCUCGAAAGCGUGGGUAUUCGAACAGGAUNAGAUACCCUGGUAGUCCACGCGGUAAACGAUGGAUGCUCGCUGUUUUGCGUCUGACGUAAGCGGCCAAGCGAAAGCGUUAAGCAUCCCACCUGGGGAGUACGCCGGCAACGGUGAAACUCAAAG